RNAcentral lists this ribosomal RNA (460 nucleotides) under uncultured bacterium. RNAcentral's name for it is "partial 16S ribosomal RNA". It matches the Rfam family "Bacterial small subunit ribosomal RNA", at positions 338 to 795 of the family's 1533-position model. The record is from RNAcentral.
CCUACGGGCGGCAGCAGUGAGGAAUAUUGGUCAAUGGACGCAAGUCUGAACCAGCCAUGCCGCGUGCAGGAAGACGGCUCUAUGAGUUGUAAACUGCUUUUGUACGGGGGUAAACGCAGAUACGCGUAUCUUUCUGAAAGUAUCUUACGAAUAAGGAUCGGCUAACUCCGUGCCAGCAGCCGCGGUAAUACGGAGGAUUCAAGCGUUAUCCGGAUUUAUUGGGUUUAAAGGGUGCGUAGGCUGUCGGAUAAGUUAGUUGUGAAAUCCCGAGGCUCAACUUCGGAAUUGCCUCUGAUACUGGUCGGCUAGAGAGUAGUUGAGGUAGGCGGAAUGUAUGGUGUAGCGGUGAAAUGCUUAGUGAUCAUACAGAACACCGAUUGCGAAGGCAGCUUACCAAGCUACUUCUGACGUUGAGGCACGAAAGCGUGGGGAGCAAACAGGAUUAGAUACCCUUGUAGUC